This 527-nucleotide ribosomal RNA is filed under the name uncultured bacterium. RNAcentral's name for it is "bacterial SSU rRNA". It matches the Rfam family "Bacterial small subunit ribosomal RNA", at positions 353 to 896 of the family's 1533-position model. The record is from RNAcentral.
AGUGGGGAAUAUUGCACAAUGGACGAAAGUCUGAUGCAGCAACGCCGCGUGGAGGAUGACACAUUUCGGUGCGUAAACUCCUUUUAUAUGAGAAGAAAAUGACGGUAUCAUAUGAAUAAGCGCCGGCUAACUCCGUGCCAGCAGCCGCGGUAAUACGGAGGGCGCAAGCGUUACUCGGAAUCACUGGGCGUAAAGAGCGUGUAGGCGGGUAGUUAAGUUGGAAGUGAAAUCCUAUGGCUCAACCAUAGAACUGCUUCCAAAACUGAUUACCUAGAAUAUGGGAGAGGUAGAUGGAAUUUCUGGUGUAGGGGUAAAAUCCGUAGAGAUCAGAAGGAAUACCGAUUGCGAAGGCGAUCUACUGGAACAUUAUUGACGCUGAGACGCGAAAGCGUGGGGAGCAAACAGGAUUAGAUACCCUGGUAGUCCACGCCCUAAACGAUGUACAUUAGUUGUUGUGAGGCUAGACCUUGCAGUAAUGCAGUUAACACAUUAAAUGUACCGCCUGGGGAGUACCGGUCGCAAGAUUA